RNAcentral lists this small RNA (36 nucleotides) under Bombyx mori (domestic silkworm). RNAcentral describes it as "ovarian small RNA-15358". Lineage: Eukaryota; Metazoa; Arthropoda; Insecta; Lepidoptera; Bombycidae. The record is from RNAcentral.
GACACCUGAAAUAUCGGUAACGUAGUGUCGGUGUGA